ACGUACACUCCUACGGGAGGCAGCAGUGGGGAAUAUUGGACAAUGGGCGAAAGCCUGAUCCAGCAAUGCCGCGUGAGUGAUGAAGGCCUUAGGGUUGUAAAGCUCUUUUACCCGGGAUGAUAAUGACAGUACCGGGAGAAUAAGCCCCGGCUAACUCCGUGCCAGCAGCCGCGGUAAUACGGAGGGGGCUAGCGUUGUUCGGAAUUACUGGGCGUAAAGCGCGCGUAGGCGGCUUUGUAAGUUAGAGGUGAAAGCCCGGAGCUCAACUUCGGAAUUGCCUUUAAGACUGCAUCGCUAGAAUCGUGGAGAGGUGAGUGGAAUUCCGAGUGUAGAGGUGAAAUUCGUAGAUAUUCGGAAGAACACCAGUGGCGAAGGCGACUCACUGGACACGUAUUGACGCUGAGGUGCGAAAGCGUGGGGAGCAAACAGGAUUAGAAACCCUUGUAGUCCCAUGAU
RNAcentral lists this ribosomal RNA (456 nucleotides) under uncultured organism. RNAcentral's name for it is "partial 16S ribosomal RNA". It matches the Rfam family "Bacterial small subunit ribosomal RNA", at positions 329 to 801 of the family's 1533-position model. The record is from RNAcentral.